UGACAUCACAAUGCCCGUCAUUCACCUCACUGCAUCUCACCAGGUAGGCAUCGUAUCAUCUCACGUCAUCACGAGAAGAACGCACCCCUGCUCAGACUGAAUGGGAAUACUGAUAAACACGAAAACAUGCUCAACUUCUCUAAUAAUCAAAGAAAUACAUAUUAAAAUGAGAUGCCACUGUUUCUUCUAUCACUGGGACUGAAAUGGAAAGUAUUCAUCAUAUCCUUUGCUGGUGAGAAAGCCGGACGAAGAAAGAUCAGAGAGAGCGCCACCCCCAUUCCCCACAGCGUUCCAGCUCUGGCCCUGCUCUGUGGCUGCCCCUCAAGCCUGAAAAUCACCUCAUAUUCUUACAAUAAAUCCCUUCUCCUCUCUUG
Long non-coding RNA from Homo sapiens (human), 374 nucleotides. RefSeq lists it as uncharacterized. NCBI's taxonomy places the organism in Eukaryota, Metazoa, Chordata, Mammalia, Primates, Hominidae. The transcript has 2 exons. The record is from RefSeq and is a predicted model, not a curated record.